UUCAGAAAUCCUACAACCAGAAACACUAGUAAAGGUCAUGAAAAAGCUAACCCUGAACCCCAGUGCCAAGCCGACAAAAUAUCAUCGUCGUCAAAGGGUUCGUCUCCAGGUUAAGAGCCAGCCUGUGGAGAACAGAAGUGAAAGAAUCAUGAGGGAAGUUCAAAGCGCCUUUCCCAGGAGAAGGGUCCGCACUCUGUUGUCCGUGCUGAAAGACCCCAUAGCAAGGAUGAGAAGAUUUGUUCGGAUUGAGCAGAGACAAAGACAGCUUGAAGGAAAUGAGAGACGAGAUGAGCCAUUCAGAUGUCUCUGCACUUUCUGCCAUUAUCAGAGAUGGGAUCCUUCUGAGAAUGCUAAAAUCGGGCAGAACCAGAAGAAUUAGGGCAGUUUGAAUUGUACACCGUCCUUGCCGUUAACGGUGCCAUGCAGCAGAUGUGAAAGCUGUUUUUUUGUUUAAGAUUAAACUUUUCUUGGUGCUGGGGAAAUCUCUUCUAAUUGCUAACCUUUAAAUUAUAUAGGAUGUGUGACAUUUGGAUUCAUGGGAAUGACAGAUUUACCCAAGAAUUGAGCAUGAGUCAAAGCCUGGUAGUUUGAUUUAGAAGGUAAUUGGAAUAAAUCUUUUUAUUUU
This 625-nucleotide long non-coding RNA is filed under the name Rattus norvegicus (Norway rat). Its description in RNAcentral is "long non-coding RNA NONRATT020879". The record is from RNAcentral. Lineage: Eukaryota; Metazoa; Chordata; Mammalia; Rodentia; Muridae.